GGGCAAGAGGCUUAGGGUAGUCUUCUCCUUUACUGAAGUUUUAUCAGAGAAGUCACAAAAAUCUUCCAGAGUAAUUAAUGCUCCUUUCUAAAAGAGGUCAAAUGAGGGAGGUCUUUGAGGAGAGAGGCAGUGCCUAUGUUAGGCAUACCUUGAAGGGAGAGGUAAUCCUGCUAAAGUUGAGGGAUUUGAUCUGCUGGGAAUGGGAAGGAAGCCUCGUUUCUCGGUUUAGAGGAGGACACACUGCUAGAGGAUACACCAGAAAGGAAAGUCUUCUGAAUAGGCGAAAAACACAUCUCGGAAAGGCCUUCCAUAGCUGGCAAUUUUCCAUUUUUGGCAGUAGUUGAGUCAUGGGCAAGGUUUUCUAGUUGUGGUGGAGCAUCAUGUGGAGUCACUACCAGUUGUUUUUCCAGAGAUGGUUUUAUGGUGCUUAGAGCAAGAUUUUGUGAAGAUUGUGGUAAAGGUACUUCCAGUUAAGAUUGUUACAGGUGGAAAGGUGAUUUUUCUGCGUAAGAUUUAUGAGUAUGCAUGGUGAUUGUACAUAGGGUUUCAGUGUUUAGCAGUGGCAUUUUAUUGAGUUGCAGAUAGGGAUUCACUACCAGUUAUUUUGGCAGUGUCACAGACCAUAUUUGCCAUUGAUGUUAGAAGUAGUGGCAUUCUGGAUUUUAUUGAGUUGAAGGACAUAGUUUGGUUAUGUGUCCCAUGACUCCACAUGAGAGGCAUAUAUCUGGAAGUUUCCCAAAUUUGAAAUUAAUCCAUUAUAGGUCCCUUGUUUCUUUCAUGUUGUUAAAUCCUGUCGGAAAUGGCUUGUCGAGUGCCAAAUUGAUCACUCGGAUCUUAAGGAAAUGAGGGUAUCCAAUAAGCCCACCUUGAGUUAAAUCAGUUUCUAGAAAUUCCCCUAUGGCAUUCCCAAUUAUUCUAGCAUUGUCUGUAGUGAGCUAAUUAGGUGGCAGCCCAUAGACUUGAACCCAAAAUGGUGAAUUUGUGAAUUGAAUCUCUUCAAAUCCCAUGUCUAGAGGCCACUCCUAUAUAGUGAGGUGUUGAUUCUAGAUGUUCAAUGGCUGAUUCUCCAUAGCAAAUUUAACAUCCACUUCAUGUUAAAAAAUGAAGAUAAAAGUAUUAAGUUUUUUGGGCAUAAUCUGGAGCUGAUGUCUGGUUCUCCAAGCAGCUUUAAGAGUAGCUUUAAUAGCAGAUCGGUUAAGCCUUUUGGAUGAUAUCACCUUCUCCACUAACACAAAUUGUUGCUUGGUUGCUUGAGUAUUGUCUGAUGAUAGCUUUAAAACUGGGCCUCUGAAAGGAGAUUCUGAGCUUUUGAAAUUAAUUCCAUAAUGUGGCAAUCACUCAUGGUACAAAUGAUGAAGUUGAAAGUAGUGGAGAUGGUCAAUUGUUGGGUUGUAAAGAGUAGGAGGUAGAGGAAUAAAUGCAAAAGGAAUAGGACAAUAAUGGUGAGGUGACUAUAGGAAUGUUUGGUGAAGAGUCUCUGCUGGGUAGUAGGAGUAAAGGUGAAGUUGCUUAUAUUGGAUGAUGUAUAAAUAGCGAAAGCUAUGUGUGGGUUGAGAUAUAUUUAGCUAGAAUUGUGUUUAGAUUAUGGACUUCUUUUUUUUUAGACCUAUUACAAUAUGUUAUGGGUCUCUCACUGUAAUGGGCUACAAGCCCUGUUUUUA
Molecule: unclassified non-coding RNA, 1661 nt
Filed under: Hevea brasiliensis (rubber tree)
Lineage: Eukaryota; Viridiplantae; Streptophyta; Magnoliopsida; Malpighiales; Euphorbiaceae
Source: RNAcentral